This is a long non-coding RNA of Lutra lutra (Eurasian river otter), 385 nucleotides long. RefSeq lists it as uncharacterized. The transcript is spliced from 3 exons. The record is from RefSeq and is a predicted model, not a curated record. Lineage: Eukaryota; Metazoa; Chordata; Mammalia; Carnivora; Mustelidae.
UUGGAGCCUGCUGACCCUGCUACCCAGAAUGCUCUUCUCCACCUCCUUAUCUGAUGAACUCUUCACUCUGGGAUCAUCCCACAGUGUCACUUUCUCAAAGAAGACUUCGAUGGGACCUCCUGCUGGGCUGUGAGCUGCAUGGGAGACUGUCCUCGUCCAGCCCAGAACCUGUCACUCAGAUGGCACCAGGAAGUGUUUGCUAUGGGAUGAAGAAAGGAUAAAUUCUGAUUAAACUGGCUUGCUUCUCUUCAAGCAACGUUCAAAAUAAAUCCUUUUCUUAUAAGGUUUCCUACAACCUUUUCAUGAGACAUCUUGUAUUAUAUUCCAUCUGAAGAAAGGUCUGGACAAAGAAUAACUGAGCUCAGAGCCAUCUGUCUCACCUUAA